This 2253-nucleotide long non-coding RNA is filed under the name Triticum aestivum (bread wheat). Its description in RNAcentral is "long non-coding RNA (TAES_LNC028083)". The record is from RNAcentral. Lineage: Eukaryota; Viridiplantae; Streptophyta; Magnoliopsida; Poales; Poaceae.
UAAAAGCUCCAGAAAAUUUGACAUGGCCACUGUCGUAUACACAUUUGGAAACAGUGUGUACAUAUAUGUAGAAUAAAACCACAAUUGCUCAAACAGUGUAAUUUCUCGCAUGCGAGCACAGGCGCAAGCAUCAGACUUAGUUCAGAAACAGUUGGAAAAUAAAUAGUGAUAACCACAGGUUGGCCAAAGUACAAGCAGAAUCAUCAGCUAAAAUAAAUGUCGUCCAACAGUCACGCUUGAAAGAUCGAGCAUUAGCGCAGAUGGGAAAUCACAACAUGGUUCCUUCUGGAUGACACAGGGCCUCAAACUCGUUUGCACAUCCUGUUAAGAAUCAUCUACUCCAAUCAAUAUCUACAAUUACAGUUCACACGGUACUACAAGUACAUGUACCAGGAAUUAGCAAGAUGACUCCAGGACAUGUACGCUAGAUCAAUAUUGUUGAUUCUAAAAGCGUUGUUAGAACAUGGAUUGCAACAAGAAAAAAAAAGGCAUGAAUAAGAUGAACUAGUAAUGCUAUGAGAAAAUUCAAUUGGAUAUCAAAGUGCAGUUUCAUUAAGAUCAACAAAGUGAACCAGAAGAAAACACAGCAGAUAUAAUCUAUCUCCAGGCACGUCCGCUAACUCCCUGUUAACCAUUCUUUCACAUGCAAGUCAUAACAUUCAUGCACAAAACUUACUUUAAAGCUUCAAGGACAUAUAGAUACUCUUUACAAAUCAAGGAUGGGAACAACAAGCACAUCUCUUUUCCUGAUUACUAGUCUAAUAAAAGCUGCAAUUGGGGGAAAUUGACAAAAGGAAAGAAACAUAGUGCAUGGAUAAUCGAAUAGUAGUCAUACCCCCAGAAGGAUGAAGCCAAGUGUUGAGAUGAUUAGAUGAUUCUGCAUCAUAACAUAGUAUUCAAGCCUGAAUUUCAGAGAAUUUCAUAAGGAGCAUAGUCCUGCAUGCAAAAGUAAAAAAGAUCAUCAAUAGAAUUUCAGAGACAAAAAGUACCAACUACCAAGGGAGUACUCGUAAGGAAUAAUACAUUAAUACUUAAUGGGAUUGGAUUUGUAAAUGUUGGAUUUAAGCUGGGAAAUGAUGGCAUAGGCUAGAAUUAACCAAAGCUAAAAACAAGUUGCAGUUGAUUCGUGCAGGCAUAAACAGAAGGGAAAAUGAUGUAAAGUAUAGAGGUGCGGCAAAUAAAACAAAUGACACAGCUCGAUCACAUAAAAAAUAGUUCUAGUAAGUCUAGUAUGUAUGAACUAUGAAGCAGAUCUUAAAACUCAUUAAACAAUUUUUCUUCUGGGGAAUUAACUGCAGUAGAACAAAGCAAAGCUUGCAGCAGUGAAAGAUAUGUUCAGCAAAUUUGAUUUGGCUAUUCUGCUGAUGUUUCACUUGUAGAAGUACCAUAUUACCAGAGCAUAGCUCUGGAAGAUUCGGUCUUAUUUUCCUGUUGGCAGGGUCUGCUAUUUCUUUUAUCUAAUGAUGAAGCAAUCGCCCCAUUCUGCAAGAAACACACCAAUGUCAUGGUUAGUGCAGAGUUGUGGGCGCGGACGAAAGAAAGGAAUGAGUGUGCACAUAAUUUUCGCACACAAGAACCAGAGGCAAAUGUGAUCGAAAAAUUUCACGAGCACGCCAAUGAAUAUUCACAUAAAAACGUGUGGUAAUAGGAACAAUAAGAUCCAACUAGUUUUGAGGAACUGAUGGCCCUAAACUGACAACAAAUUUGAGCAACCAGCAAGCAGUAGCACACCUAUCUGUGUUCCGCCUGCUACCACUGAGCUCGAGCCGACGACUGUGAUUUCUUCAUAUAAAAGUACUAACUAUCAUGUGGAAACGUUUAUAAAAAUGAAUUGGGGAAAAGUACGAUUAGAUUGGAAGAACGGUUAUACUCAUGGAUAAGGGAAGAAGAGAACAUACCCUUCAUAGUUGAAUCGCGGAAGACCGUCAACUCCUGUACCUCUAUAGAAUCGACGCCCCGGACGACGACAUCGGACAUAGACGAGCCAUCGCUGCCAAAUAAAUCAACGCGCACAGUCGAUUCAGAGGAACACAGGGCGAGAUUAAGCUUCUAUGCCGUAGAUCCUUACCCAGGUACAUGAGAGGGAGGAGAGAGAGAGAGAGAGAGAGAUAUGACACCGGGCACAUUUUUCCAACCCUAGCUCCCACCUGCUCCCAUGGAUUACGGCGGCACGGGAGAGAAGAGAAGGCAGAGGAAGGGAAACGAUGAGAGAGAGGACGAGUACAGAAUUCUGAGCCACUUUAAGGUUAAAUC